AGCGGAGAAACGCCCUGCAAAUCGACCUGUUAGCACCAGCUCGACAAGCUGGGGGUCACUGGUUCGAGCCCAGUACCGCCCA
RNAcentral lists this transfer RNA (82 nucleotides) under Chloroflexota bacterium. RNAcentral's name for it is "tRNA-Val". Lineage: Bacteria; Bacillati; Chloroflexota. The record is from RNAcentral.